This 466-nucleotide ribosomal RNA is filed under the name uncultured bacterium. RNAcentral's name for it is "partial 16S ribosomal RNA". It matches the Rfam family "Bacterial small subunit ribosomal RNA", at positions 28 to 507 of the family's 1533-position model. The record is from RNAcentral.
GACGAACGCUGGCGGCGCGCCUAACACAUGCAAGUCGAACGAGCGAGAGAGAGCUUGCUUUCUCGAGCGAGUGGCGAACGGGUGAGUAACGCGUGAGGAACCUGCCUCAAAGAAGGGGACAACAGUUGGAAACGACUGCUAAUACCGCAUAAGCCCACGACCCGGCAUCGGGUAGAGGGAAAAGGAGCAAUCCGCUUUGAGAUGGCCUCGCGUCCGAUUAGCUAGUUGGUGAGGUAACGGCCCACCAAGGCGACGAUCGGUAGCCGGACUGAGAGGUUGAACGGCCACAUUGGGACUGAGACACGGCCCAGACUCCUACGGGAGGCAGCAGUGGGGAAUAUUGCACAAUGGGGGAAACCCUGAUGCAGCGACGCCGCGUGGAGGAAGAAGGUCUUCGGAUUGUAAACUCCUGUUGUUGAGGAAGAUAAUGACGGUACUCAACAAGGAAGUGACGGCUAACUACGUG